GGGGUGUGCUCAGAGCAAGCAAGUUUUAAGAGUGGCUCCUCUGUUUUCAACACAUCCAAGAGAAAUCUUUGUUUACUCCUCACAGGUGGGGGACCUUCUUGUGACAUCAUGCCCUAUAUGU
This is a small nucleolar RNA of Cavia porcellus (domestic guinea pig), 121 nucleotides long. Ensembl annotates it as small nucleolar RNA, H/ACA box 11G. Its record names the gene SNORA11G. Lineage: Eukaryota; Metazoa; Chordata; Mammalia; Rodentia; Caviidae. The record is from Ensembl.